RNAcentral lists this long non-coding RNA (1051 nucleotides) under Homo sapiens (human). Its description in RNAcentral is "HSALNT0074248". Lineage: Eukaryota; Metazoa; Chordata; Mammalia; Primates; Hominidae. The record is from RNAcentral.
UUGGGGCAGCGGAAACGCAGAUGCGCCACAUAGGGGAACUCAAACUGGAAACGUUGGCUGCAUUCCAGGCUUCAAGGUUCUGCUCUUCCUUAUCUCUGGCCGAUUGGACCAACCGCAGCCACAUGAGACCUUCUGAGGAACCAUUUGCUGCUGAGGUGUCUACCUGCGGUUUGAAAUAAAUGAAAGAAGACAAGAAGGAGAGGGGGAGAGGGACCCUCAUGAGGGAAUGAAAUCAGAAGAAUCAAGACCAUUUCUUCUAUGUUAGUCUUUUCCAAAAAUUGUCUGAGACCACGCUUCCAAAAGUUUGGCCCAAGCUGGGACCUGUCCUCAUGUUUGUAACCAUUAGGCAAGAUAACCAUUCUUUGAAACACUGCAUCAAUCAUAUAGUUUAUUUAAGUCACCGUUUUUAUAUAUUGGUUGAAUACUAAAUGAGGAAAUUUCUUCUUAUAAUUUAGUGUUAACCCCUUGAGAGUUUACUUCUAAGUUAUUCCACAUUACAAAGGUAUGGAGAAUUUUGUUUGUUUCAGAAAUAAAGCAAGCUUAGAUCUUAGAAAUUAUGCUAUGGCAAUCAUGUUCCUAAUCUUGGCUAGAACAAUUAAUAGAUUUUCUUUGUAAAGAAGAAUAGGAAAUGAGAGGUCUGAAUCUUCCAAUUCAGACAUAUGGAUUUGAUGAUGCUUUACUGUCAAAACCAUAAACAUUUUUAUUUAAAUACAAACUCUGGGCACUAGCUAAUAUUACCAAAGAAACUAAUCUUUAGGGGAUGAAGAAGCCUCCUCAAAUGGAAGGCAGAUGUACCCAAUACUUGUCAAAGAACUUGCAGAAACUAGUUAGUAUGCAAAUAGCCUCCACCCCAGUGAAAUCUCCCAGAGUUUAGGAAGUCGUGUUCAUCACCAGGAUAAUCCAGAACUGAAGCACUGAUUUAGAUAUUUCUAACAUUCCAAAUCAAAUUUUGUCAUUUAUUCCAAAAAAUCAGUUGACAAUAAUUUGAGUUUAAUUUUCCUUUUCUAAUUUUUGAUGUGUGAAAUGGGAUUGCUUGCAUUAUUGCAUUUUU